This is a long non-coding RNA of Nematostella vectensis (starlet sea anemone), 677 nucleotides long. RefSeq lists it as uncharacterized. Lineage: Eukaryota; Metazoa; Cnidaria; Anthozoa; Actiniaria; Edwardsiidae. The record is from RefSeq and is a predicted model, not a curated record. The transcript is spliced from 2 exons.
GUCAAAGUAAACAGAAAUGGUUGCGGCGGUCACGCCAGAGAGCGAGGCAACAUCAGUGCUUCCAUAUCACGAUCCCCUACUGCACAGAGAAACGACUAAAAAAAGUGGUAGCUGUGGUUUGCGGAAAAAAAAAAACUGAAGGCCUGCUAGCUACCAGAUCUCAUCAGCAAACCAGGGUCGUUAGACAUCCUUCCUACAGCCUAAAGACAUUAUUGACAUCGAUAAUGUACCGAUUUCAUCAUUGAAUGAUCACCCCAGGUUAGCGUAUCAGAAUAUGUUAGCCCGAAGCGGUUUUCUUUAGGUUUUUUAGUGUCAAAUGAUCAAUUAUUGAUGCUAAGCUUUCUUGAAUUUAUUCAAGCAAACGUCGCUGGCACGUUUUUUAUAGCGGCGAAUAGUAAAAAGCACAAUUUACAGCAAGGUGCUUUGUAAUGUUUAACCCAUUUUCAUUUAAUCGCCAUGAGCUUUCACUGCCUUGCAUAUCAGACGAGUUAAAAUAAGGUUUGUUUGAUGCUUAUAAACCUUGUUGUGUUCUUUUGCGGAUGGGUUGGCUGGAAGAUGGUAUAGACAAAAUCUAAUGCACGAAGUAUGAGAGAAACAUCGAACAAAACGGAAUAAUAAUGCAGUUAUAGACUGAUAACGGUCUAACAAGAUACACAAUAAAUAUUCAGUUUACCUUC